Molecule: long non-coding RNA, 3416 nt
Filed under: Triticum aestivum (bread wheat)
Lineage: Eukaryota; Viridiplantae; Streptophyta; Magnoliopsida; Poales; Poaceae
Description: long non-coding RNA (TAES_LNC003478)
Source: RNAcentral
UCUCCGUUCUUGCAAAGCACAAAUUUUUAAUCACCUAUCUCAAGAUAGAGGAAGGUGAUGACGAUGCCGAUUGGUGUCACCACACACCUAGGGAAUGAUCAAAAGUGGACAAAGCUUACUUCUUGACAUGGCUAGAUCUAGUUAGGGAGGUACAUAGGUCACUUCAUUAAAUGGGUAGAUCUACCUAGCUAGUUGGGGAAGGAGAUGACUCUAACUAGUGGAGGGGAGAAAAAGAGAAAGGAGUUUCAUUAAUGGAGGUGGUGUAGUUAUCUAGGAGCAAUAAAGAGAGAGAAAGAGAGGUAGAAGUGUCACGCAUAAUAUGCGAUACAUACAUCAACAUUACAUAAUAGAUGGGGAUACAUACAAGAGGCAUACAAUGCCACACGAAUACAACAUCAUCAUACACAAGAGCAUCAUCCGACUACGGAUGAAACACAAACAGAAACUCAAACGACAUCCACCCUGCUAGCCCAGGCUGCCGACCUGGAACUAUCCCCUGAUCGAAGAAGAAGCAGAAUAAGAACUCCAAAACAAGCAACAUCGCUCUCACGUCAAGAUCAUCGCAUAACCUGCACCUGCAACUGUUGUUGUAGUAAACUGUGAGCCACGAGGACUCAGCAAUCCCAUUACCAUGGGUAUCAAGACUAGCAAAGCUUAACAUGAAAGGAAGGGGUAAAAUGGUCAGGUUACAGCAGCGACUAAGCAUGAUAUGGUGGCUAACAUACGCAAAUAAGAGCGAGAAGAGAAGCAAAGGAACGGUCGUGAAGCUAGCAAUGAUCAAGAAGUGAUCCUCAACUCCUACUUACGUCAAACAUAACCCAAAACCUCAGGGUCAACUUAGCCCAUCACAAGCCCUCAGGGUCAACGAAGGAUAUUCUUUCUCCCAGGAAGACCCGAUCAGUCUCAGAAUCCCGGUUUACAAGACAUUUCGACAAUGGUAAAACAAGACCAGCAAAGCCGCCCGAUGUGCCGACAAAUCCCGAUAGGAGUUGCACAUAUCUCGUUCUCAGGGCACACCAGAUGAGCAAGACAUCGGGUUGGCAUAAACACUGGUUGCCCAGGGGGUGCCGGACAUCGCUCAGUUUGGACCAGCACCCGGAGGAGCACUGGCCCGGGGGGUAAAUAAAGAUGACCCUCGGGCUCCGGAAACCCAAGGGAAAAAAGGGCUAGGUGAGGCAAAUGGUAAAACCAAGGUUGGGCCUUGCUGGAGGAGUUCUAUUCAAAGCGAACUGUCAAGGGGGUCCCAUAAAUCACCCAACCGCGUAAGGAAUGCAAAAUUAAGGAACAUAACACCGGUAUGACAGAAACUAGGGCGGCAAGAGUGGAACAAAACACCAGGCAUAAGGCCGAGCCUUCCACCCUUUACCAAGUAUAUAGAUGCAUUAAUUAAAUAAGAGAUAUUGUGAUAUCCCAACAUAAUCUUGUCCAUCAUGGAGCAAUCUUCAACUUCACCUGCAACUAACAACGCUAUAAGAGGGGUUGAGCAAAAGCGGUAACAUAGCCAAGCAACGGUUUGCUAGGAAGGGUGAAAAGGUUAGAGGCUGACAUGGCAAUUUGGGGAGGCUUGAAGAACAAGUGAUAGGAAGCACAACAUAGCGAUAGAACAAAGCAACUAGCAUAGCAAUGAUAGUCAUGAGAUCCAAGGUGACGGUCAUCUUGCCUGAAAUCCCGCAAGGAAGGAGAACGAGUCCAUGAAGAAGACGAACGGACGUAGUCGAACGAAUCCUCACAACUCCGGAACGAAACCGAAGCUAACGAGAGAAGCAAACCGGAAAGGAGGAAACAACAUGGUAAACACACAACACAUAGACAUGGCAUGAUGCUCAACCAAGUAAGAUGCAUGUCCGGUUUAAAGAGGCAUGGCACGGCAAAGUGCAACAAACAAUACUACAAGUUAAGUGGAGCUCAAUAUGCAACGAGUUGCAUAUUGACGAAAUACCACAUUCGAGUUAUUUAGUUCGCUCUCGUUUAGGUACACAACAAUAUUAAAUGUUGUUAAACAUGGCAAGAGGUGAAACAUAAUGAAACUACCUAUCUAGGUAAGUUUAAAUGAGGCCGGAAGUAACAAACAACAAUUCCGAAAAAUCCUCAUGAGCAAUAUUCGAAUUUGGUACUGUUCUGCCCUAAACCAUAUUUUAAAGUUGUUAAACAUGCAAAGUAAGUGCACCAUGGUAAUCUAUGCAUUUUUCUACCCCAUUUAAAUAUAAAGUUUAUUAAAUUUGGAGCUACGGUUAUUUAGUUAUGAAUUAAAGCAUUUUAGCAUGGCAUUUGAGCAAAUUUAAACAAACAACAUUUUAAACAUUUUAAACAUGGAUGAAAAUGGAAAAAUAUGAAACUAGAUGAAAUUCUAAGCAUUUUACAUAUUAAAAUCAUUUUAAACAAAUGCACGGUUAAUGAGUUAUUAAAUGCAUGAACUCUAGGGGUUUUUCUGCAAAACUGUAAACUCUGGAUAAAUGCUAAAAUCAUCCAGAGGAAAAAAAACAGGAGCUGGGCCGAAUCUGAGAUCUGGCCCGAGUGUACAAGAGGGGGACUGGAGGGGCUGCUCACCCAUGGGCUUCGGCCCGGUCGGUGGAGAGGCUGGCGCGCUGGGCUUUGACGCGGGAUGCGGCCCACGGUGCUACGGGGAGUUGCGGUCAAUGUGCGAGGGGAACAGGGGCUGAUGCUCGUCCUCCCGCUCGAACUGACCAAGACAGAGCAGAAACGGCGGCGUGACUUGCGGCGACGGUGGACCUCCGGGAAGAAGAUGGCAACGGGCGGAGGCGCGGACGACGCAGAGACGGCCGGGAAGAGGAGAUGCUCGACGUGGGCUGCCGGAUCUUGGCGGAUCCGAGGCUGGAUGGCGUGCGGUGGCAGGGACUUGGGGCGCCGGGGGUGGGGACAGGCAAGGGCGGCGGAGGACGAUGGCGGCUCGGAUCUGCUGGCCGACGGUGCGAGGCUUGGUGCGGGACUGCUGCGGGAGGAGUCCGGCAAGGUCAGGCCGGAGCUGCAACGGGGUCGCGAGGGGAGGAGGCUGCAGGGCUGAGGAGGUGGCUUGGCGUCGGGUGGAGCCCCAUGGCCACGGCGGCCUCCCUGUAAGAAAGAGAGUUGAGAGAGAGAUGUGAGACGAGGGAGGACCAGAGGAAAAUAGGAGCGAGAGGGAGAAGAGGAGCGACGGGACCUGGGGCGUUCGGCCGUAGAUGGAGGCGAGGCUCACUGGAGCACACGAGGGCAACGGGGUCGAGCAUUUGCUGCGGGGACGGUGGAGCUGGUUGGAUGGGUGGAUCGAGGAUCUAGAGGGGAUUGAUGGAUGAACUAGAUCGAGAGGUGGAGGCGACGGGUUGGUCUGGUGUUGAAAAUGAGGGAGGGUUUUGGAUCGGGGAGGAUCCCGAUGAGGAAGAGACAAGAAGAGUGGCGGCGCUCGGGAGGAAGGGGAUGGG